UUUCCUUACUCUUUUUUUAUUUCUUCUUCUUUAUUUUGUUUUGGUUGUUUUGGCAGAGACACUUUCUAUCUCUCUCUCUCGGCUGCUUUCUCUCUUUCAUUUUUUUUAUUUUCAAGACACAAAACUCUUGAUGCACCACAUUUAGAGUUAGAAUCUCACCCUAGUCCUUUAGGCCAAAAUGAUGAGCUUGUUGAGGACAUCGUUUUGACUGGUGGAGAUUGAAUUUCGGGAAGAUUGAUUUUUGGAGCUUUUUUCCUCUUCUCUUCUAAAGUGAUGAAAGUGUUAUAUGGAGGUAAUGCGUUCCUUCCGGUUAGCACACGGUAAAGCAGGCGGAUGUGCUAUAUAGAGGUAGAAAGUUGGAGUUUGUUUCACGACUAAGAUGUCCCAUUAAAUGUGGCCAAAAGGCCUGAUCCCUGUAGGCGGGAUGCCAUUUUGUUGUAAGAGGGUUAAUCCCUCUCAUCUCAUUUUCUUAGUUUUUUUUCUUAAUGUAAGCCCAAGGGCACUUGAAAUUAUUUGUGUUGGUCACGCCACCAUUGUGUAUUUAUACGAGAGAGAACCUCGAUUGAUUUAA
Non-coding RNA from Camellia sinensis, 571 nucleotides. The record is from RefSeq and is a predicted model, not a curated record. Lineage: Eukaryota; Viridiplantae; Streptophyta; Magnoliopsida; Ericales; Theaceae.